RNAcentral lists this ribosomal RNA (236 nucleotides) under uncultured bacterium. Its description in RNAcentral is "partial 16S ribosomal RNA". It matches the Rfam family "Bacterial small subunit ribosomal RNA", at positions 100 to 334 of the family's 1533-position model. The record is from RNAcentral.
CGGGACGGGUGAGUAAUGUCUGGGAAACUGCCUGAUGGAGGGGGAUAACUACUGGAAACGGUAGCUAAUACCGCAUAACGUCGCAAGACCAAAGAAGGGGGGACCGUUCGGGCCUCUUGCCAUCGGAUGUGCCCAGAUGGGAUUAGCUAGUAGGUGGGGUAACGGCUCACCUAGGCGACGAUCCCUAGCUGGUCUGAGAGGAUGACCAGCCACACUGGAACUGAGACACGGUCCAG